CCCCAAACGGAGAAAGGUUGAUAUUAUGGUCCUACGAGUAAAAGCACGAAACUUUCACUACCCACGUGAUAGUCUAGUUGGAAUGGGUUAUUAACCACAUUCCCUCAUGUCCGAGGUUCGAGCCACAAUGAGAGUCGAUUAAAUGAGGAUUUAAUCCGAUGCCUGGAUAUGGCGGAGUGGGGUGGUUUCUGUUCUCUCUGGUGCAUGGAUGGUGCUGAGAUGACGUACACACCCAUUGUGAUGGCCAAGAACCUCAUGUAUGGUGGAGAGUGAUUGAGCCGGUUUUCAUUGUUGCCACACAUCGAAUAUUCCCCAGCGGAGUGAGGCCCCCCUCACUCCAUUUUUUGUACUAAAAAAAAAAGCAUGAAACUUUCACAAUUGCUAAGGAGGAUCCC
RNAcentral lists this long non-coding RNA (395 nucleotides) under Elaeis guineensis (African oil palm). RNAcentral describes it as "long non-coding RNA (EGUI_LNC015879)". The record is from RNAcentral. Lineage: Eukaryota; Viridiplantae; Streptophyta; Magnoliopsida; Arecales; Arecaceae.